AUGCACCUGGGCAAGGAUUCU
This 21-nucleotide microRNA is filed under the name Pteropus alecto (black flying fox). RNAcentral describes it as "pal-miR-500-3p". Its record names the gene pal-miR-500-3p. RNAcentral also lists the same sequence under 3 other names. Lineage: Eukaryota; Metazoa; Chordata; Mammalia; Chiroptera; Pteropodidae. The record is from miRBase by way of RNAcentral.